Non-coding RNA from Salmo salar (Atlantic salmon), 1019 nucleotides. Lineage: Eukaryota; Metazoa; Chordata; Actinopteri; Salmoniformes; Salmonidae. The record is from RefSeq and is a predicted model, not a curated record.
UCCGCGCUGCCCUCAAACCAAAGCACGCAGACUGUUUUUAUUUAUAGGCUGUUUCAACUUCAAUUUCAAAUGAUUUUCUAACAAGUUUUUAUUUUCUAAGAACAGUUUGAAUUUAGGUGUGUUCCGCCUCCUCAAUCAUUCACAUAAAAAUAGUCAUUUUUACUUUUGCGGACAAUUACAUUUUUGGGACAUUUCUGACCCGGACAAAAUUCCCCAAGCACUUUCCAAUUGUUUGUGCAGUUCAAGUCUGCAGACAUUUGCUAAUCUCCCGUCAGAAAAGGAUCUGCACACGUGUUCACAUUUUCCAUCUGUUGCCCUCAUUGUUUUCGUUACUAAUAAUAACUUUGGAAAUGUGUGCGUUUCUAUCAAAUGGCGCAGCGGUCAAAGGCACAGCACGGUGCUAGAGACGUCACUACAGACUCCCUGGUUCAAAUCCAUGCUGCGUUUCUAAAAACCACAAACAGUAUUUGCCAAUAUCAUAACUGGACAUCUUUCGAGCUGAAGAUUGAGGACAGCUUUUGUAUGCUAACGUUCUCUCCUUAACAGUUUUACUGGAUGGAAACACAGCAAGAAAACACAUAGGCCAAUAUUGACUGAACAACAACUGCAUUUCCACCCCCACCUCUAAAGGCAUAGUAUCAUGGCAGGUCACCUGUCAAGUCACCUGUCAGGUCAGUCAGUCACUUAUUGCUGCAGAUGUGCUCAAUAAUGCUUGAGCAUGUGAUACUCCUCAAAGCAUGGUGAAAUACAUAGAGGUGUAUCACAAGCUAAACACAUGUAUUUUGUCAUCUUCCUCUGCUUACGUCUCCUGGCGCCAGACAGGCAGACUUUGCAGUGCCUCCGUGUGCGACUACCUUGAGCAGCAGUUUGAGGGACUUUGCAGGGAAAAUGCCGUGCAGUGAGGCGUAGGGGAUUGUCUAAAGCAGGGCGACCCCCAGUGGAGGGGCGCCGAGGGGUGUGGUGCUCCUCCAACAGCUCUCUCAUGAGGUUCUCUCUGUAUUUUUGGUGGUCCACCUUCC